Molecule: long non-coding RNA, 1317 nt
Organism: Populus euphratica (Euphrates poplar)
Lineage: Eukaryota; Viridiplantae; Streptophyta; Magnoliopsida; Malpighiales; Salicaceae
Exons: 2
Source: RefSeq, a predicted model, not a curated record
GGUCGCUGCAUAAAGCCAGAUCAAGCAAAACAAACAAGGAAAACUUCACAAACAAGGUAUGCUACUAGCCAACUCAGAAACCCUUUCCUGGUAGCACUUCUCACUCUUUAAAGCAAUGAUUAGCUUUCCAUUUCCAAAAGGUGGUUAAGAUUUUAUUAGCAUCUAAGCAAGAUUGUCAAAUUGGUGAAGAAGAAAGAUUAAGAAUAGAAAGAAGUUGCACAGCUAGAAGGUCUUAUGUUGGAAUGCCACGGUUACAAGACACUUGAUAUUGCCACAGCAUUUGAAAUUUCCAAUUAUCAAGGAAAGACACCAUCAGAAGAAAGGGAAUUACUGAAAAAUACUACGAAAUUUGGGGAUUCAUCCACUGACAUACUAGCAGAUACAAAAAAAAAAAAAAAAGAUUGACAACCAAAAAAAAAAUGAGAACGAAGAUGAAUUACUUAAAAGAGCCAGAAGAUAACAGGCAAGCUCAAAGAGCCAGACAUUGAGAUCGAAGAAUAUGCUCUGUAGUAGUAAAUUUGAAAAUGCAAAGAAAGAACUACAAUCAUUACUCUACCUAAGAUUGUGCUCAGCCUCAAAAGUUUCUGCAAGUGGGCUUCUAUUGAUGCUCCAGUAACUUAAUCAUAAGGUAUGUUUUUCAUGCCAACAAAGAUUUAACAUUGACCAGUCAAUCAUGCAAAGUUAAGGACUUGGGGCUUUCAAAACUUUUUGUAAUAGAGGCGAUAGAAAUAUGUUCUGCCCAUGUGAAUGUCCAUUCAAAGACACCAAGAAGCUUUAGAACUCAAGUCAGAUGCGUGCAAAACUGAAGCUGUAGCCUUGGCUAUUAUGCUGCUCUAGAUGGGAUGAGUCAAUGGUCAUGAGAAAGCAAGUUAAUGCUACUAUUUCAUAAGCUUUUGUGCAAUGAUUCAGUAAAAUUGACCUUAAUGAAUAACAAAAAAUUAAGAAAUUAGAUUAUUUAUCCACACUCUGGCUCUUUCAUGUAAUAGUUAUAAAGGAAUCCAACAUUAAAAGCUCGUUGGGAAAAUGCAAUAACAAAAAGACGUACAUGUCAAAAUUGAAGUGACUUCAACUAAAUCUUAUAAAGGACUGAAGAAAAGAGUUGCUAAUAAAAUCAUGGAAAACUGAUGACUUAUAAUGUAAAAAUGAUGGCAGUAGGAAGAAUAAAACGGCAACCAAAAGCAGAAGAGAAUAAAAUGUUUACAGCUUUACCCUUUCCCUACUAUCUUCCCAUUUCUUGGAUAAUCAGCGCUUUUAAUUUCCCUUCUCUUAGAAACCCAUCCCAUUAGAUAAAAAUGCAAAUCAAGAUUUAUAAAUAAA